CACCGCGGUUAUACGAGAGGCCCAAGUUGAAAGACCCCGGCGUAAAGAGUGGUUAAGCUAGAAUUUAUACUAAAGCCGAAUAUCCUCACGGCUGUUAUACGCCCCCGAAGAUAAGAAGCUCAGCCACGAAGGUAGCUUUAUUUGUCUGAACCCACGAAAGCUACGGCA
This 168-nucleotide ribosomal RNA is filed under the name Zestichthys tanakae. RNAcentral's name for it is "partial 12S rRNA". The record is from RNAcentral. Lineage: Eukaryota; Metazoa; Chordata; Actinopteri; Perciformes; Zoarcidae.